GACGAACGCUGGCGGCGUGCUUAACACAUGCAAGUCGAACGGAAAGGCCCUGCUUUUGUGGGGUGCUCGAGUGGCGAACGGGUGAGUAACACGUGAGUAACCUGCCCUUGACUUUGGGAUAACUUCAGGAAACUGGGGCUAAUACCGGAUAGGAGCUCCUGCUGCAUGGUGGGGGUUGGAAAGUUUCGGCGGUUGGGGAUGGACUCGCGGCUUAUCAGCUUGUUGGUGGGGUAGUGGCUUACCAAGGCUUUGACGGGUAGCCGGCCUGAGAGGGUGACCGGCCACAAUGGGACUGAGAUACGGCCCAGACUCCAACGGGAGGCAGCAGUGGGGAAUAUUGCACAAUGGGCGGAAGCCUGAUGCAGCAACGCCGCGUGCGGGAUGACGGCCUUCGGGUUGUAAACCGCUUUCGCCUGUGACGAAGCGUGAGUGACGGUAAUGGGUAAAGAAGCACCGGCUAACUACGUG
Molecule: ribosomal RNA, 468 nt
Filed under: uncultured bacterium
Lineage: Bacteria
Description: partial 16S ribosomal RNA
Rfam family: Bacterial small subunit ribosomal RNA
Source: RNAcentral